UAGGGGAUCUUCCACAAUGGGCGCAAGCCUGAUGGAGCAACACCGCGUGAGUGAAGAAGGGUUUCGGCUCGUAAAGCUCUGUUGUUAAAGAAGAACACGUAUGAGAGUAACUGUUCAUACGUUGACGGUAUUUAACCAGAAAGUCACGGCUAACUACGCGCCAG
This 164-nucleotide ribosomal RNA is filed under the name uncultured bacterium. RNAcentral describes it as "partial 16S rRNA". It matches the Rfam family "Bacterial small subunit ribosomal RNA", at positions 355 to 511 of the family's 1533-position model. The record is from RNAcentral.